RNAcentral lists this ribosomal RNA (405 nucleotides) under uncultured prokaryote. Its description in RNAcentral is "bacterial SSU rRNA". It matches the Rfam family "Bacterial small subunit ribosomal RNA", at positions 355 to 774 of the family's 1533-position model. The record is from RNAcentral.
UGGGGAAUCUUGCACAAUGGAGGGAACUCUGAUGCAGCAACGCCGCGUGAAGGAUGAAGGUUUUCGGAUCGUAAACUUCUAUCAGUAGGGAAGAAAACAAUGACAGUACCUAACUAAGAAGCCCCGGCUAACUACGUGCCAGCAGCCGCGGUAAUACGUAGGGGGCAAGCGUUAUCCGGAUUUACUGGGUAUAAAGGGUGCGUAGGUGGCAUGGUCAGUUAGGUGUGAAAGCCCAAGGCUUAACCUUGGGAUUGCAUCUAAAACUGCCAAGCUAGAGGGCAGGAGAGGAAAGUGGAAUUCCUAGUGUAGCGGUGAAAUGCGUAGAUAUUAGGAGGAACAUCAGUAGCGAAGGCGGCUUUCUGGACUGUAACUGACACUGAGGCACGAAAGCGUGGGUAGCAAACA